RNAcentral lists this ribosomal RNA (484 nucleotides) under Enterococcus faecalis. RNAcentral describes it as "bacterial SSU rRNA". It matches the Rfam family "Bacterial small subunit ribosomal RNA", at positions 55 to 510 of the family's 1533-position model. Lineage: Bacteria; Bacillati; Bacillota; Bacilli; Lactobacillales; Enterococcaceae. The record is from RNAcentral.
CUGCAAGUCGAACGCUUCUUUCCUCCCGAGUGCUUGCACUCAAUUGGAAAGAGGAGUGGCGGACGGGUGAGUAACACGUGGGUAACCUACCCAUCAGAGGGGGAUAACACUUGGAAACAGGUGCUAAUACCGCAUAACAGUUUAUGCCGCAUGGCAUAAGAGUGAAAGGCGCUUUCGGGUGUCGCUGAUGGAUGGACCCGCGGUGCAUUAGCUAGUUGGUGAGGUAACGGCUCACCAAGGCCACGAUGCAUAGCCGACCUGAGAGGGUGAUCGGCCACACUGGGACUGAGACACGGCCCAGACUCCUACGGGAGGCAGCAGUAGGGAAUCUUCGGCAAUGGACGAAAGUCUGACCGAGCAACGCCGCGUGAGUGAAGAAGGUUUUCGGAUCGUAAAACUCUGUUGUUAGAGAAGAACAAGGACGUUAGUAACUGAACGUCCCCUGACGGUAUCUAACCAGAAAGCCACGGCUAACUACGUGCCA